RNAcentral lists this long non-coding RNA (1206 nucleotides) under Haliotis rufescens (red abalone). Its description in RNAcentral is "uncharacterized LOC125381538, transcript variant X2". The record is from RNAcentral. Lineage: Eukaryota; Metazoa; Mollusca; Gastropoda; Lepetellida; Haliotidae.
GCUGUCUAUAAAGUUUAUCAUAGCAAGGUGCUUAUCAUGUGUAUUUUUAUUAUUUCCGAAAAAAGAAUCAAUUCAUCAUUUUCCGAUAACUAGAUCUAUGUCCGACUCCUUUCUAAUGAAAACGAGCAAAAGUAAAACGAGUCUCUCGUCGCGCGCUAUAACGGGGUGUUUGCGGUAUUGUCCUCUCUGGUGAUGAUAAGCUAGUCGAUAGUCAAAAGUUAAAUAUCACCAUAUAUUGUCAGUGAGUUGGUCAUCGUUUGUUGAUGAUUAAAGUGAGAUAGGUGUAGCCAAUGUGCACCAAUGAAAAAUACAAUGGAAUUGAUAGCAACCAUAUUCUUUCGGUUUUCGAUCUGCAUAUGUUGCCACGUAGGCUACCAUACUACAGAAUUAUAUUUAACGAUAUUUAACUGUAUUAGAUCUAUGUUAAUAAACGUAGUGACAAAUAAAUUUCAAUAAAUAUUUAGAGCUGUUUCAACUUCGUCUGGUAUUGUAUAAGCUAUUGCAUUUUGUUUAUUUCCCCAUGUUUCUAAUCUUUGUAAAUGUUAGAACAUAUAUAACUAUCCUGGCAUAUUAAUAUGGAAAAUAUUAAGGUAGAUCUAAGUAUUAAAAAAAAUCACAGUUUUAAUUAGGAUAAAUACCCCGAAGUGUUAACACUUUUAUCACUUAUUGGUGGGCCAAUUCAUAAUUCAUAUUCAACAUUCUUGCUUCAAAUAUGGGAACUAUUUAUUUUAUUUGGCAAUAUAUAUUUUUCAUUUAUGUACAUAUUUUUCAAAUAAGGUUUUAGAAACUUGGCCAUGAUAUUCACUUGAAUCACUAGUUUGAGUGUACAGCAGAAAGGUAAAGUUACUGCUUUUGAAAAACUACAGUUGAUCUGUUGACUGAUAAAACUAUUUGCCAAUAUUACUAUCAGUUACAUCAUACUCUAUUAGUCUAAGUAAAUGGGAUUUAUCUAUACAGUACUGGUUUAUUUAAGAAUGUGAUAAUUUGUGGUUUCUGUUUUUCUUUCAGGUGGAGAAAACAGUAUUGUGGGAGCGUAUUUGUUUAAAGUACAUAUCACUGACAGAAAGUUACCAAGGCAUAAGGAGAGACUGAGGAUACAGUUGAAGAUCAUCCCUGUGACUUUUCAUUUGAGGACUGAAAAGGCUCCCCAGCAACUCAGCCCAUGUUCUGACUUGUCAUUUAACAAAUAAAUAAAGGUCACCUCAA